RNAcentral lists this ribosomal RNA (490 nucleotides) under uncultured bacterium. Its description in RNAcentral is "partial 16S ribosomal RNA". It matches the Rfam family "Bacterial small subunit ribosomal RNA", at positions 29 to 505 of the family's 1533-position model. The record is from RNAcentral.
AGUGAACGCUGGCGGUAGGCCUAACACAUGCAAGUCGAACGGCAGCACAGUAAGAGCUUGCUCUUACGGGUGGCGAGUGGCGGACGGGUGAGGAAUACAUCGGAAUCUACUUUUUCGUGGGGGAUAACGUAGGGAAACUUACGCUAAUACCGCAUACGACCUACGGGUGAAAGCAGGGGAUCUUCGGACCUUGCGCGAUUGAAUGAGCCGAUGUCGGAUUAGCUAGUUGGCGGGGUAAAGGCCCACCAAGGCGACGAUCCGUAGCUGGUCUGAGAGGAUGAUCAGCCACACUGGAACUGAGACAUGGUCCAGACUCCUACGGGAGGCAGCAGUGGGGAAUAUUGGACAAUGGGCGCAAGCCUGAUCCAGCCAUACCGCGUGGGUGAAGAAGGCCUUCGGGUUGUAAAGCCCUUUUGUUGGGAAAGAAAAGCAGCAGGUUAAUACCCCGCUGUUCUGACGGUACCCAAAGAAUAAGCACCGGCUAACUUCG